This 247-nucleotide ribosomal RNA is filed under the name uncultured bacterium. Its description in RNAcentral is "partial 16S ribosomal RNA". It matches the Rfam family "Bacterial small subunit ribosomal RNA", at positions 523 to 769 of the family's 1533-position model. The record is from RNAcentral.
AUACGAAGGGGGCUAGCGUUGUUCGGAAUUACUGGGCGUAAAGCGCAUGUAGGCGGACAUUUAAGUCAGGGGUGAAAUCCCGGGGCUCAACCUCGGAACUGCCUUUGAUACUGGGUGUCUAGAGUGUGGAAGAGGUAAGUGGAAUUCCGAGUGUAGAGGUGAAAUUCGUAGAUAUUCGGAGGAACACCAGUGGCGAAGGCGACUAACUGGACUGUAACUGACGCUGAGGCGCGAAAGUGUGGGGAGC